RNAcentral lists this ribosomal RNA (253 nucleotides) under uncultured bacterium. Its description in RNAcentral is "partial 16S ribosomal RNA". It matches the Rfam family "Bacterial small subunit ribosomal RNA", at positions 524 to 776 of the family's 1533-position model. The record is from RNAcentral.
UACGGGGGGGGCAAGCGUUGUUCGGAAUUACUGGGCGUAAAGGGCUCGUAGGUGGCCAACUAAGUCAGACGUGAAAUCCCUCGGCUUAACCGGGGAACUGCGUCUGAUACUGGAUGGCUUGAGUUCGGGAGAGGGAUGCGGAAUUCCAGGUGUAGCGGUGAAAUGCGUAGAUAUCUGGAGGAACACCGGUGGCGAAGGCGGCAUCCGGGACCGACACGGACGCUGAGGAGCGAAAGCCAGGGGAGCAAACGGG